AGAUGUAAGGCUUAAAUUAUAUAAAAUCUAAAAGAUAAUAUAGUAGAAAUAGCACUUGUUUACGUUUGUGGUAUAUGUGAGGAGAUUUGCAACAAUUAUUUAGAUCAUUGUUGUUUGAAAAAAUAUGAAAAUCAUCAUAUUGAUGAGAAUCAUUAUUGUUAUCCUUUACUAGAGGAUGGUAUUACAAUAAUUCGGCGUGCUUUAUUGGAAAAUAGACAUGAGGGAC
This is a long non-coding RNA of Cotesia glomerata, 226 nucleotides long. RefSeq lists it as uncharacterized. The record is from RefSeq and is a predicted model, not a curated record. The transcript is spliced from 3 exons. Lineage: Eukaryota; Metazoa; Arthropoda; Insecta; Hymenoptera; Braconidae.